GGGCCACGGCGUCUCUCCUCUAAUGACACCUCAUCAAUCCGCUCCUAUCAAUGUCCCAGCCAUGGAGGUGACUUCGAGUGCUCAGAAGCCUUAGAAAAUGUCAACGUUUUGGGAGAAAAGGUGAGGAAAAAGAGACAAGAGUUUGGCAGCAAGUAACUUCCAGAGCUGGGAAUCAAGCUAAGGUCAGUGAAUGUAAUAUUAUCUAGAAGAACAAAACUCAUAGAUAAAGCAGCAUGAUAUAGUGGAAAGAGGUGGAAUCUGGCUUUGAAGACCUGAGUUUACAUCAAAGCUUGCUGACAUGGUGUAUCCUGAAAUGGAGAGAGUUAAAUGAAGAAUUUGAAAUCCUCCUAAGGCCAGAAACCUGCGCGUGCUUUGGAUGUAAGUAACAUUUGUCAAGCCUGAAUUUUAGAAAGUUUGUAUAACAUUUAAUUCAUUGUUUUAAUCCAAAGGAGAACAUCCUGUUUACUGAGCCCUCAGAGUUGUUGAAAUAUGAAUAUGAAGUAGGAAUCCUUUCAACAUCCCAGAUUGUUCCUAUUUUUAUUUUUAUGUCUGAGAGUAUGGAUGUUCAGAGACGUUAAGUAACAUACUCUAAAUAACAUAGGUAAAAAGUACCAGGGCCAGGAUUUAAACCUGGUUUUGAUCAUUUUAAGGCCCAUGGGAAGGCCUACCACUUGCUAUCAAGACACAUAAAGCACAGUGCCUAGAGUGAGCUAACAACCUAUUAUAGAUUCCACAUGCAUCCCAUUUUCUGAGGCUUGUUAAAUUGUCUGAGAAAGGGCAUUAUGAUCAGUUUUCUUCAGUAAAUUUCACCAGUUUGGCCAAAGCCACUGAGGCAAGGUGACCUGAACGGCAUGUUGGUUAAUGUAGAUUCAAACCUGGAUGGUUGUUUUAUUUCUUUGUGAUGCUUGCCUGAUCUGGAAAGAAAGCAUAUCCUGUUGACUGAAGGAGAUUGGAUGUCAAAAACAGAAUGAGGAAAAUGGGGAUAGAGAAUUAUUGGGGCUCCUAAGCGAUAUGAAUGGAAUGGAGAGAAUCUGACAAAAAACGUUCUAUGGGGGACUUUUCCCUUGAUUAAAUUAGAGCUAUUUGAAUAGCUAAUUGAAUGAUAGGGUCCAGGAGAAAAGAGCAGCAACCUUAUGUAACCUUUCUUCUUAUAUUUUUAAGUCGUUGGGCAGUUUUACAGCACACCACAUUAGGCGGGAGCAAAGUUUCUUUGCUCAUGGUGAGUUAGCCUCAGAAAUUUCUACACAUACAUCUUUUAAGGAAGAUGACUGUAUAUUUUGGUCAAAGCUAGUAAGGUCAUUGCUUUUGUAUGUUGCUUAAACCUUUCCUGAUAAUGCGCUAUGAACCUCCCUUCCUAUCCCCUGUAGUUGCAUGACUUCUGCUGAGAAUGGGUAGGGAUGCUCAGCCAGGCUGCUGGCUCCAUGCUACUUAGCUGUAACUUAAUAUUCCUAAGUGAAACUUGUUUUGGAGCUUAAGAACUCUGGGAGGUAUUGGUUGCUCCUUCACAUUUCCUGCCACAAACAUUUCCAACUCUCCUUGGAGCAUAAGAGGUGUGGGAGGGGAUGGUGAGGUCUGAGGCAGCCUGCUGUUUGGUGGGUCACAGUUUCCCCUCACCAGGGCUCCCUUUACUCCUUUUGAGUGUGCUGAUAUAGAAUGGGGAUGUGUUUGCAGCGGAAUUUAGUUGGAAGAGAAGGGCUCUGUGGGUCUGGAGUUCAGUCUUUCAGUCAUGGAGCUGGAGUGCCCUCUGCUGCUCUGGAGAGGAAGGUGCAUGAACAGCAUGGCUCUUGCCUGCACUUUGCUCCAGGUACAGGAAAAUCUCCAAAAUGCUCCCUUUGAAAACCAGUGCUCGGUUGAUCACUAAGCAUCUGGUUUCACUCAACUGUGGGGACUUUGGCUUUUUCAAGAAAAUCUCAUUGAGGCUGAGUAUGCAACCAGACCAGAGCCCACAUGGAAGGUAGCUUUCCUUCGGUCAAAAGGUGUGACAGCCAUUUCAGGAUAGGUAUUUGGCUUAUUUUUCAUGAGUGUCAGUGUCACCAUGAAAUAAGUGUUUAUUUUGUGUGUGAUCAAUCUUUUCAUAUAUAUCUGGGAUAACUGAAUAUUGUUAUUCCAGGUUUGGAGGUUUCUAUAUAUUUUCCUUUUGCAGUGUGUAAAAUCAAUGUUGAAAAAUGUUCUUUGUGGAAAAUGCAAGCAUUUUUAAAAAACAUUUCUUGCUUUACUUUUUAAUGUAUUUUAUCAUUCUGCAGUGGCAUAUUUUUAUAUAGUCUUAUAAUUUACAACCACUUUCUCAUAAUCUCAUUAAAACAUCCUGGUAAAUCUGAUAUAAGCUAUGUAGCUCCUACUUUAUAGACAGAAAAGCAAGUUUAAAGUCAUACCCAGUCAUAUAAGCGGUAUCAGAAGUGAGAACUGGGUCAGCUAAUGUGCUGAGCUCCAGGAAAAGGAUACCAGUGAAUAGUUAUUUAAUACUUACCAUUUGUUAGCACCAUAAUAGUGUUUUUAAAUUAAUUAAUUAAUUAAUUAAUUUUUGUCUUUUUGUCUUUUUUUAGGGCUGCACCCGUGGCAUAUGGAGGUUCAUAAGCUAGGGGUCUAAUUGGAGCUGUUGCCGCUGGCCUAUGCCAGAGCCACAGGAACGCCAGAUCUGAGCAUAUCUGCAACCUAUACCACAGUUCAUGGCAAUGCCAGAUCCUUAACCCACUGAGCAUGGCCAUGGAUCAAACCUUCAACCUCAUGGUUCCUAGUCGGAUUCAUUUCCACUGUGCCAUGGCGGGAACUCCAACUGUGUUUUUUUUAAUUCAUUGCUUACUUAUUUUUUACAUCAACUCAAAAGGUAGACAUUAUUAUAGCUGUUAUUUUAAUAGAUAUUAAAAUAGAGGCUUUGAGAAGUUACUAAUAAAGAGUCAAACAGACAGUAAGUGGAAAAGCUUUGUUUCAAACCCUGCUCCAUCUGAUGCCAGAGGCCCUGAUGUAUGAACAAUAUUUAAUAUGAAGAGAAAUCCCUGGCCUCAAGCAAUUUAGAGUAGUUUUUUUUUUGAUGCGAUAAUAUAUUUAUGAUAUAUGAUAUAAAAUUUACCAUUUUAACCACCUUUAGGUGUAAAGUUCAAUGUCAUUAAGUACAUUCAUGUUGACUGAAUGAUAGUCCAUUUUAUGACUAUACCAUAUUUUAUGUAUUCAUCCCUUGAUGGACGUUUGAAAUGUUUCCACCUUUUGCUUAUUGUGAUUAGUGCUGAUAUGAUAUAAAUACCUGUUUGAGUUACUGCUUUUGGUUAUUUUCAGUGUAUACCCAGAAGUAGGGCUGCUGAAUCAUAUAUUAAUUCUAUGUUUAAAUUUUUUUAAGGAACUACCACUCUCUUUUUCACAGUGGCGGCACUAUUUAACAUUCCUACCAAUGGAGAACAGGGCUGGUUCAUUCGUUCAUUCUUUCUUUCUUUCUUUCUUUCAUAGCCUAAUGCAUGUGAGGUAUCUCAUUGGGGUUUUAUGUUUUAAAGUUUUAAAAUUUUUUUGCUUUUUUGGAGGGGCCAUACAUGCAGCAUAUGGAAAUUCCCAGGUUAGGUGUUGAAUGGGAGCUGCAGCUCAGGCCUGUGUCACAGCCGUAGCAACAGGGGGAUCUGAGCUGGGUUUGUGACCUACACCACAGCUUGUGGCAAUGCUGGGUCCUUAACCCACUCAACAAGGCCAGGCAUUGAACCCACAUCCUCAUGGAUGUUUCCACUGAACCACAAUGGGAACUCCCUCAUUGGGGUUUUAAUUUGCAUUUCCCUAAUGAUUAGUGAAGUAUAAUAUCUUUUCAUGUGCUUCUUGGCCAUCUAUAUAUCUUCUUUGAGGAAAUGUCUACUAUUUCUUAACUGGGUUUUCUUUGGCUGUUGUUGAGUUGUAUUGAGUUCUUUAUAUAUUCUGGAUAUUAAUUCUUUAUCAGAUGUAUGAUUUGCAAUUGUUUUCUCUUUUACUCUAUGGCUCUUUACUCUGUUGAUAGUAUCCUUUGAUGCACAAAAUGUUUCAAACAUUUUGAUGAAGUCUAAUUUAUUUGUUUCCUCUUUCAUUGCCUCUGCUUUUGGUAUCAUAUCCAAGAAUUCAUUGCCAAACUCAAUGUCAGGAAGCUUUCCCCUGUAUUUUCUUCUAAGAAUUUUAUAGUUUUAGUCCUUACAUUUGGGUGUUUGAUCUAUUUUGAGUUAAUUUUUUGUAUAUUGUGAAACUAAGCAUUCAGCUUCAUUCUUUUGCAUGUAGAUAUUAUUUUCCUUAUAAUAUUUGUUAAAAAGGAUGUCUUUUCCCCAUUAAAUUGACUUGGCACACUUGUUGAAAAUCAUUUGGCCAUAUAUGUUAGGGUUUAUUUCUGAGCUCUGUAUUCUGUUCAUUGGUGUGUGUGCUUGUCUUUAUGUCAGUACUACACUUUAUUAAUUACUAUAGCUUUGUUUGAAGUUUUGAAAUACAGAAGUGUGCAACCUCUAGUUUUGUUCAUUGUCAAGAUUGUUUUGACUAUCUGAAGUCCCUAGAAAGUCCAUGUGUUUUAGGUUGGGGUUUUCUAUUUUUGCCAAAAAAUGUCAUUGGGAUUCUGAUAGUGAUUGCAUUGAAUCUAUAGAUUUCUUUGAGUAAUAUUGACAUUUUAACAAUAUUGUCUUCUGAUUCAUGAAUGCAGACUGUAUUUUUAUUUAUAGAUGUCUUUUAAAUUUUUAUUCAGCAAUACUUUAUAUUUUUCAGUGUACAAGUCCUUGGUUAAGUUUAUUCCUAAAUAUUUUUUUUCUUUUAGAUGCUAUUGUAAAUGAGAUUUUCUUAAUUUUCUUUUUAGAUUGUUCAUUGUUAGUGUACAGAAAUGCAACUGAUUUUGCAUGCUGUUUUUGUAUCCUACUACCAGUUUGCCAUUUUAACUUGAGCCCAUAUCUUUUAACCAUGUCUCAUGUAUUUCCUACUCUUUCACAGUGGUCAACAUGUGAAAAUGACAAUUAAUUUCCAUUACACAGAAAUUUUGUUCUUAUGUCAAACUUUACCAAAAUUUGUCUGCCAUGAGUUUUUUUCAUGGAGUCCAAACAUUGUCAGCAAUUCAAUUAAUGAAAAAGAAAAUCAAUCUGAUUUUCCUUGUCUCUAUGUUAUGCCUACACUUAAUCUGAAUGACAAAGUUUUAACUUCCAGAUGCACAAAUUGGUUUGGUAUUAUAUUGACACAGCUACAGUUCUCAAAGUUGUUAUAAUCUGCACAAAGAAAACUAAAAACUAAAAUAUGCAUUUGUUUAUUCAUUCAACUUUCCAACUCAUGUUGACUUGGGUCAUAUAGUUUAUCCUAUUUGAUUGCCUAUUCAGCUAGAUAAAAAGCAUAGUACCAGUUUAAAAAAUAGACAAUUUAAUACAUUGGCCAACACCUGAUAAGAAUAACGCACACAAAUCUGUAAGCCAAUUUCACUUAUGAGUGUACAUGCCAAAAUUUGAAAUGCAGUUAUCAAAUUCUUAUUAUUUUAAAUAAAGACUAUACUACAUAUAGUAUAAUCUAGUAAUUUAAGUAUACAAUCUAUGAUCAUGAUUUAUCACAUCAUAUUGUAAGGAAAAAAAACUUGUGAAACCCUCUGAUAAAUGCAUGAAGCAUUUAUAAGUGCAACAUAUAUUCAUGAAUCAAAAUAUACUUUCAGUAAACCAUAGAUACUGUACCUCUUUUACACAACUAAAAAUAAUGUACUUAAAACUAAAGCCAAUAUCUACUUAGUAGAAAAUUCAGAAGGUUGCUGCUUUCAUGUAUCAUAAUUCCAGAAGUUCUAAUCAAUGCAUAAUAAUAUUAGUACAUCUACUAAUAAGUGUAUUUAAAUAAAAGUAGAUAACCAUAACAUGUGUAAGCAAUAAUUUUGUUGACCUGGAAACCAAACUUAAUCAAUUGGAAAACUAUUAGAAAGUAAUAAUGGAGUUUUCAUUGUGACUCAGUGGGUUAAGACCCCAACAUAGAGUCUGUGAGGAUGAGGGUUCCAUCUGUGGCCUUGCUUGGUUGAGUUAAGUAUCUGGUAUUGUUGUAAGCUAUGAUAUAGGUCACAGAUAUGUCUCAGAUAUGGCACUGCUGUGGCUGUGGUGUAGGCCUGCACUUGCAGCUCCAAUUCCACCCCUGGCCCAGGAACUUCCAUGUGCUACAGGUGUG
This 6102-nucleotide long non-coding RNA is filed under the name Sus scrofa (pig). RNAcentral describes it as "lncRNA (ENSSSCG00065025412.1)". The record is from RNAcentral. Lineage: Eukaryota; Metazoa; Chordata; Mammalia; Artiodactyla; Suidae.